AGAUGUGGUUUCCUCCUAUGAGAGAACACCCUGGCCCUGCAAGACAAACCUGGAGGGCAGUUUAUCACUUAUUGCCCACUGAAAGGACAGCAUGGAUGGGCAUUGUCCACUUAAAAGUCAGCCUAUUGUUCCAGUGUCGACGCUGCAACCCUCCUCCACCCCAGCCACCUCUAUUCCAGUUCAUCAGCGUCUAGUCCAGAUUCUCACACAUCUGCUUUUCUCAUCCUGCAUACCAUAGUCUCCUCCUCCACCCCAGCCACCUCAUUGAUCCUGCAUCCCUCAUCAACACCACUGUUAGACUGCUUUGGGGGGUAUCCUUUUCCUGCUGUCGGCCUCACUACCCCUUCAAGUACAUGAAGUCAUCACGAUGGAGUCUAACUGCCAAAGACAUUGCACAUUUCUUUCUAAUCAAAUUUGUAAAAUAAAUUAUUGUUAAACUCA
Cheilinus undulatus (humphead wrasse) is the source of this 441-nucleotide long non-coding RNA. RefSeq lists it as uncharacterized. The transcript is spliced from 2 exons. The record is from RefSeq and is a predicted model, not a curated record. Lineage: Eukaryota; Metazoa; Chordata; Actinopteri; Labriformes; Labridae.